GACGAACGCUGGCGGCGUGCCUAACACAUGCAAGUCUACUUGAACCUACCGCUUGCGGUAGUGGAUGGUGGCGAACGGGUGAGUAACGCGUAGACAACCUACCAUUUAAAGAGGGAUAAUUCACUGAAAAGAGGACUAAUACCUCAUGUGCUCUUAAGUCGGCAUCGAUUUAAGAGGAAAGACUGCGGUCGUUAAAUGAUGGGUCUGCGUAUCAUUAGUUAGUUGGUAAGGUAACGGCUUACCAAGACAUCGAUGAUUAGCUGGUCUGAGAGGAUGAUCAGCCACACUGGGACUGAGAUACGGCCCAG
This 308-nucleotide ribosomal RNA is filed under the name uncultured bacterium. RNAcentral describes it as "bacterial SSU rRNA". It matches the Rfam family "Bacterial small subunit ribosomal RNA", at positions 28 to 334 of the family's 1533-position model. The record is from RNAcentral.